UGGUAGGUUUGUAGCAUGAUUUUUGUUAUGUACAAGCAAAUUUGCGUACCAAUUUGCAUACUAAUAUUGUUGCUUUCAUAUUCUAAAUUCAAAUUAGCACUGUUUUCAAUAAAGUCUACUUUCUGACC
Long non-coding RNA from Juglans microcarpa x Juglans regia, 128 nucleotides. RefSeq lists it as uncharacterized. NCBI's taxonomy places the organism in Eukaryota, Viridiplantae, Streptophyta, Magnoliopsida, Fagales, Juglandaceae. The record is from RefSeq and is a predicted model, not a curated record. The transcript is spliced from 4 exons.